This 743-nucleotide long non-coding RNA is filed under the name Nicotiana benthamiana. Its description in RNAcentral is "long non-coding RNA (NBEN_LNC004474)". Lineage: Eukaryota; Viridiplantae; Streptophyta; Magnoliopsida; Solanales; Solanaceae. The record is from RNAcentral.
AAAAAAUCGAGUGAACCAUAGUGAGAACAGAUCUGGACGAGCUGAAAACAGGGUAAAAAACUUUCCGAUUUUGAAGCAAGGUCCAGCGUUAAUUUCCAAUUGUAACUCUUCCCUUUCAUCUUCCUCUGAGAAAACCUAGGGUCCAUUGUUGCAGAUCCUCCAGUCUCGAGCAGGUCCUUCAUGAUUUUUGUUUUCUGAAUUAGCGUCAGCUUCUCUAAUAAUCUCAAACAUCUUUGUUUGUAGGUUCUUUGCCAGCAGGCCAGAUGAAAGCAGAACCUUGAACUCGCUAUAGAUACCAAAUGCUUAAAAUUACCCGUUGUUGGGGGAUUGAUGUGCGGUGACUAUGUUUUUUGUGUUGGGGAAAGAAAAACAUCCGAGAAGCUAUUGCAUCGAAAGCUCUUCCUAUUUCACAUUGUGCGACACCCCCAUCAAGUUGUUCUCAGUGAAAGCGCACUUGUACAGUAAGUCCAAGAUGAGUUUUUAUUAAUUGUGCAUUCACCUCCUAUAAGUGACACAAUCGGCUGCCACGGAAGUGAAAAUUUAUUCCACGAGAUUGAUGUUCUUCCAUCAACAGCAACAAAUGAAGAAUCAAGAAUUGAUGUUUUGCUUCUUGAAUCUUUUGUUUUGGGGCUAGAGGGAGAGGGGAUGGUUAUAUUCUUGUUCAUUCCAUGUGAAAGAACCUGAAAAUUGUAUGGUGUAUAAAGAAAUGGGGUCGGGGCGGGUUAGAAAAGUGGGUCGGGCGG